This 33-nucleotide non-coding RNA is filed under the name Bombyx mori (domestic silkworm). Lineage: Eukaryota; Metazoa; Arthropoda; Insecta; Lepidoptera; Bombycidae. RNAcentral also lists the same sequence under 1 other name. The record is from RNAcentral.
GCAUCGGUGGUUCAGUGGUAGAAUGCUCGCCUG